CAGUCAUACCAACGGGAAAUCAACCUUUUGAGCUCGGUCUCGUGGGUUUUGAAGAGUUUCAAAGCCUUCGGAUUCGCGAGAUUGGGAUCUCUCGGUGUACUUUCUCGUACGGUUAGUCAACAUCGGUUUUGAAUGUCAUAAAAUGACUGGAGGAAUGUAGCUUCGAUCUCGUAUUGAAGUGUUAUAGCCUUUGGUAGAUGUGAUGUUUGAGACCGAGGAUUGCAACGGAUACCCUUCAGGGCUAUUCGUCUGAUCUCUGAUACGUUGCCUUGAUGUUGAAAGCUUGCUUAUGAUGUUAGGGUAUUACGGUCAAAAGGUUAGAACUCAUUAGA
RNAcentral lists this ribosomal RNA (332 nucleotides) under uncultured Glomeromycotina. RNAcentral's name for it is "LSU rRNA". The record is from RNAcentral. Lineage: Eukaryota; Fungi; Glomeromycota.